AGAGGAAAGGAGGACCUUAGGCCCAGUGGAGGGAAACACGCAAGAUUCUGUGACCCACUUGCUCACUGAGGAAGACACCUCCUGCUUCUGAGAACGUUCCCGAAGGGGCUGGCUUUCCAGUUACAUUCAGAAGAGACUCCUCUUGGAGGCCUCAGCAGGUGGUAAGCAAAGGGUCCAGAGAGCCCAGAAGAGCUUUAUGACAUUCCAGGCCAGACACAGUCAUCUUGGAGGAAAAGCAGAGUAAAAGUUGGAAAUACAGGAAGCUAUUUCUGAAGAGAAACAAUGGGCCUGAGCUGCAGCCAGCCUCAUGACGACCAGCCCUCCACGCUGGAAGGGGAAUG
Long non-coding RNA from Ochotona curzoniae (black-lipped pika), 341 nucleotides. RefSeq lists it as uncharacterized. The record is from RefSeq and is a predicted model, not a curated record. NCBI's taxonomy places the organism in Eukaryota, Metazoa, Chordata, Mammalia, Lagomorpha, Ochotonidae. The transcript has 3 exons.